AGCGAACGCUGGCGGCAGGCUUAACACAUGCAAGUCGAGCGGGCACUUUCGGGUGUCAGCGGCGGACGGGUGAGUAACGCGUGGGAACGUGCCCUCUGGUUCGGAAUAACUCAGGGAAACUUGAGCUAAUACCGGAUACGCCCUUUUGGGGAAAGGCUUGCUGCCGGAGGAUCGGCCCGCGGCUGAUUAGCUAGUUGGUGAGGUAACGGCUCACCAAGGCGACGAUCAGUAGCUGGUCUGAGAGGAUGAUCAGCCACACUGGGACUGAGACACGGCCCAGACUCCUACGGGAGGCAGCAGUGGGGAAUAUUGGACAAUGGGCGCAAGCCUGAUCCAGCCAUGCCGCGUGAGUGAUCAAGGCCUUAGGGUUGUAAAGCUCUUUUAUCCGGGACGAUAAUGACGGUACCGGAGGAAUAAGCCCCGGCUAACUUCGUG
Molecule: ribosomal RNA, 435 nt
Filed under: uncultured bacterium
Lineage: Bacteria
Description: partial 16S ribosomal RNA
Rfam family: Bacterial small subunit ribosomal RNA
Source: RNAcentral